This 2756-nucleotide long non-coding RNA is filed under the name Macaca mulatta (Rhesus monkey). Its description in RNAcentral is "lncRNA (ENSMMUG00000056486.1)". The record is from RNAcentral. Lineage: Eukaryota; Metazoa; Chordata; Mammalia; Primates; Cercopithecidae.
CUGAAAUUUAUUAAGCACUUUCAAUAACAAGUAAUUCCCAAGCGUCAUUGCAUUUCAUCCCCAUCAUAGCCCAAUGACGUAGACUAUGAUCAUUCUUAUUUUGCAGAGGGGGAUGUGGAAUCAGAGAAGUUGAGCCACUUGGUCAUGGUCACACAGCUAUAAAGAUGGAAACCAAGGUCCAGAUGCCCUUAGUCAUCAAUAAGACUAAUUUCAGCUUCCCCUCGAGAAGCCAAGUUCAAAGCCAUCCGCAAAAUGAUCACUCAGCAUCCACCAGACAGAUUGGUGGGGGCCAGUGCGGGGAGGAGGAAGGAGGAAGCGAAGAGACAACGCCAGCAUCCACUCACUGGCUCUCUCACUGUCUGCAUUCAACAAGUCCGGAAGGAUUUGGUUGCCUGGUACAAAGCCUUACAGGGAGAAAGUUUGAAAGGCCUUUGGAAAUGUUUAGAAGCUCUUCUAAGAUGGAAUUUAAAAAAUUACUUAUUUGGAUAAAAUAAUGGUAUUUUAUAGUUCCAUUUUGAACAUAUUUGGAAUAAGUAAAGACAAAGAAAAAAGAAAGAAAAGAAACAGUGAGGAAUUUGGAUUCUCAGGGGAAGUGGACUGAGAUGCACACCCUUCCCUGCUUCAGUGAGGCCUGGGAAGCCAUCAGGGGCCUGUGGACAUUGUUCUGGAUGAGUUUUGCUCAUUUCGCAGAAGGUCUAAAAACAAAAACAAAACAAUUGUGCUUUGAACCUGAAGGCAGCUUAUGUUUCUUUCUGUGCGGCUCCUCCCUUCCGCUUCCUGGACCUGAGUGUCGAUUUCAUCUGCGGCUUAGCAGUGGUGCAUCCUGAGCGCGUCCUUUCAUCCUUCUGAACCUCAAUAUGCUCAGCUGUGAAAUGGGGAUGGUGAGAGCCCUGGCUCACAGCUCAGAGACUGUUACAGAAUGGAAUGCGGUGAGGUUUGUGAAGCCGUCACUCAGAGCCGUGGGCCAGCCACUUCUUAGCUGGCAUUACAGCUCCUGCAGCCAGCCACUUCUGGUAACUGAUCAUGGAACUGACCUUCAGAAGAAAACGUAUGGAGGGGGAGGGAAUACAGAGGAGACACAACCCAAAGCAGAAAUGUGGAAAUACUCUUCAGUUUUCUGUUGCAAUUAUUAGCACAAUAGUUCAUACUUACCCUCUGCCUCAAACUACAAAGCACUGUAACCCAUUAUCUCGGGCAUGUGUGUAUAUACUUGCACACCAAUUCCCACUUUAUACACUCAGGCUCAGAGAGGUGAACUGACUUGCCUGAGGACCCACAGCUAGCUGGUUGAACUGCACCUCAGAUGCCAGCUUUCCUGGCUCCUUACUCCUGCCGAUCCCAGGACACUUCUGACAAGGGUGGCAGUCUGAUUUCCCGAAGACAGGAGCUCAGAGGGAGAUUAGUUUGCUUUAAAGAAAAAAAAAAAGAAAGAAAGAAACUGACAGUUUGGGGGCACUGGCAUUUUGGCUGCAGAUUUAUACAGGCGACACAAGCCCUCAGGGAAUCGGCUUAGAAAUCCAAGGUACAUUUGUCAGUUACCCCCAAUGGGAGAAGAGAAAGAUCUUAGUCCCUGCCCUAGCAGCGCUCUGUGUGUUGUAGGAAAGGAAAGAUGUGGUCAUGGAGGCAACAUGGGAGCAGGGGACAAGGUGGGGUGGCGCCAAGACGGGCUGUUCUGAGAUGGAGGUGAGUGAGUGGUGAGUGGGACCCCGGGAGGCCAGGCUGUCUGCAGCUGGUGGCACAGGCCUGAAAUGGGCCAGAUGAGAGGAGAGCGCUGGAGAGGGCUGAGGAGGGCCAGGCAGGCCCCCAGCCAGAAGUGGGGGCCUCUGCGUGGGCGGCAGCUCUCCCUCCCUUCCUCGUGGUUGGCUGCUGAAGUUCCAUGGCAACCUUCUAAGCCGGCACACGAUCCCCUGUGGGUGCAGCAAAAAACCUUUAGGAACUUUGGCUGAAUGAGAUCCUUAUUCACAGCUCAGAAGUCAAAACUUGAGUUUUGAGAGGGAUUGGGAGAAAGAGCUGCAUUUUUAGACUCACUUGUCCUUACCCUGAAUUUCUUUCCAAGGUUGGCAGGUGGAGGCCAAUGGGGUGAUUCGGACCCGGUAUUGUGGGCUAUCAGCCUGCCAGUCACCCACAGGCUCCCACAACCCUGAGAUUUGAGCUUCGGAGAGAAGCAAUUUUGACAAACCAGGGCUGAAGGAGUGGAACGUAUUUUGGUUGGAAUCCAUGACUUUUUACUCCCACCGAUUAAACAGGAAACAAACAUUUUGAGCAGGUUCCAAUCCUCAGCUGAAUGUGGCUGUGCCGUCCAUAUAUGGGGACACUCGGUCUCCAACCAUUCUACCGGGACACUCGGGGACCUUGGAGGCACCCACCUGCCUCGGUGUUCCUGUUACUAAAAAUCAGACUGGAUUUCAAGGCAGUGGAUCUGGCCCGGCUUUCUGUGUCCAGGGUGGCCUGGAACUGGAUCUGGUUUGGGCAGGUCUAGGCACUGACAGCACCUGAUUUGGUGUGCCCCUGCUGAGGAUGGGUGCGGGUGGGGAAGGAGGGGCACACAUGGAAGAAGGGUGCAUGAGCUGAAAGGCAGCGUGUGGAGGCUGAAGCCCAGUGGGCUGAGGAUGCUGCAGUGGGGUGGCCUGAUGAAGUGGGCACUCUGAAGUGUGUCCACCUGCCGUGACUUGCUAAAGCACAGUGGACCCACAGCCUUGGUGGACACCUUGAAGGACUGCUGUUCUGAGGGCACCUUGGCCUAACCAGAUGAUGAC